This 253-nucleotide ribosomal RNA is filed under the name uncultured Eubacteriales bacterium. Its description in RNAcentral is "uncultured Clostridiales bacterium partial 16S ribosomal RNA". It matches the Rfam family "Bacterial small subunit ribosomal RNA", at positions 524 to 776 of the family's 1533-position model. Lineage: Bacteria; Bacillati; Bacillota; Clostridia; Eubacteriales. The record is from RNAcentral.
UACGGGGGAUGCAAGCGUUAUCCGGAUUUACUGGGUGUAAAGGGGGCGCAGACGGCAAUGCAAGCCAGGAGUGAAAGCCCGGGGCCCAACCCCGGGACUGCUCUUGGAACUGCAUAGCUGGAGUGCUGGAGAGGCAAGCGGAAUUCCUAGUGUAGCGGUGAAAUGCGUAGAUAUUAGGAAGAACACCAGUGGCGAAGGCGGCUUGCUGGACAGUAACUGACGUUGAGGCUCGAAAGCGUGGGGAGCAAACAGG